GAUAAACGCUGGCGGCGUGCCUAACACAUGCAAGUCGAACGUCCUUCUUCGCAAGAAGAAGGGAGUGGCGGACGGGUGAGGAACACGUGGGUGACCUGCCUUUCAGUGAGGAAUACCGGCGAGAAAUCGCCGACAAGACCGCAUACGCUUCUCCCUUCACUUGGAGAAGGAAAGUCGCAAGACGCUGGAAGAGGGGCCCGCGGCCGAUUAGCUAGCUGGUGGGGUAAUGGCCUACCAGGGCGACGAUCGGUAGCUGGUCUGAGAGGACGAUCAGCCA
RNAcentral lists this ribosomal RNA (277 nucleotides) under uncultured bacterium. RNAcentral's name for it is "partial 16S ribosomal RNA". It matches the Rfam family "Bacterial small subunit ribosomal RNA", at positions 28 to 310 of the family's 1533-position model. The record is from RNAcentral.